GUCUGGUGUAUAGUAGUCUGCCAGUUAACCUGUCACUGCCUGAUUCAAAAUUAAGUGCUCAAUUUCCUGUCAGUUUGCCACAAAACUUUUUAUAGUUAAGAUUUUAUUGUCACUAAUACUUUAAAAACUUUUUAAAUCUUUUUACUUUUUAACUUUUUAAAUCUUUUUACUUUUUAUCACAUAGAAUGAGUGUUCAAAGAAAAUCCAAAGCUGCAUUUACUCACAAAAACAUUUAAAUCAUAGUUAAGAAACAAUGCAAUAAACAUGUGGUUUCAUCUCCUACAAAAUCAGAUCCUGAAUAUCCUGCAGGCUCAUGUCACGGGUGUCAAUCAUAAUGUAGACGGAGAACAGGACAGCCAGGAAACAACUGACAGAGAAUAUCCAGAAGACUGUGUACAUGCCACAUAUCUCAUUGAUAUAAGGGAAGAGUUUAGUGAUGACAAAGCUGAGGCCCCAGCUGUAUCCCACAGUUACUGCCGAUGACGCACCUUUAACAUUCGGCGGAAACACUUCUCCUUUGACAGCACAAGAAGCAGACGCAAUCAACAUAUUUUUGAUCCCAUAAGCCUUGGUGAGAGGCAUGGCAACACCAGCAAAGGCUAUUAAAAUAACUGCUACCACAAUAGUAGCAUUGCUGGCAGAAAGACCUAUAUCUCCGGCCUGGUUGAAGAUCGUCUCUGAAUAGAAGAGGACUACAUUGAUGCCACUCAUCUGCUGAAAGGUCAUGGCACCACAAGAGAGCAUCAAGGCCUUACGAUUGGUACUGGUGCUGAUCAACUCCAAUAAUGUACCUUUCUCUUUCAUAGCUUCCUCAACUGACACCUAGUUGAACAGAUUUUUUGUUAAUGAUAUUUCAAGAAUUUGCUAUCUGGACAUCAGUCAGUCAAAUCAGUGCUCUAGAGCCUCUGUAUCUGAAGAAACCGCUUAGAAAGACUUGUAAUUGUUAGAAGGUCCCCUAAUAUUAAGCUGCCUCAGAACUCUCAAGCAGUCCUCAUUCUUUGAUUAGUGUAGUGUAUUUAGUGUGAUAAAUACUAAGUUGGUAAUGUACCCAUAGCAAUAUUUAAUGUCAGCACCAGUUAUGUUGGCAGUAUGUAUUGUCAGGCGAUGUAUCAUACAAUGUAGUCUGAUUAAAUCCAUACGAAUAAAGAAUCCUCAUAGGCUGCUCUCCUGUGACGUCAGGAGUUUUUGAUUUUUUGACGUCACAGGAGAGCAGCCUAUGAGCAUUCUUUAUUCAAAUGGAUUAAAUCAGACUACAUCGUAUGAUACAUCACCUGACAAUACAUACUGCCAACAUAACUGGUGCAGACAUUAAAUAUUGCUAUGGGUACAUUACCAACUUAGUAUUUAUCACACUAAAUACACUACAAUUAGCACACAAAAUUUCAGUUACUCGUAUUAAGUUGUCAUUAAUUUGUACAACCUGCAAUCAAUACUGAGGUAUUUAUACAAUAUUCUGAAUAUAUUUACAAAGUAUUAUAAGCUGUUAAAAUGUAUAAUUGAUUUAUUUUAACCUUGAAUUGGAAAUAAUAUUUAUGUUAAUCUCAGAAUAGAUUCAGGAACUCACUUGAUGGAUUUUAUUAAUGGAAAAUUCAAUACACUUCCAAACAUAUUGUAUAGUUAUAGUCUAUAGUAAACAUUAAAACAAUUAAAACCUUAGAGAUAUUUUGGAACCUUAUUAUAUAUAAUAAAUAUGUAUCUAUUUUAAUUAUGAUGGUAUAACUUGGUACAUUAAUAUACAUGUUAUGAACAGUCAGAGAAAAAUAAUUAAAAUUUUAAAACCUUUAUGUCUAAAAAAAUUAUCUUAAAUUUAUUAAAAGUGAAAUAACAUGUUUUAAAAUAUAUAAACAUAAAAUGUUAUACACUUAAAGCCAAAAAUUGUGUAAUCCACUCUUUCUUUAAUUCUGAAGAAAAAAUUGUAUUGUUUUUAUAAGUUAUGAGCAAUAGUGUGUGUAAUGCAUAUCUAAAUAAAAGUUAGACUUAAAUAUGUAUGACAUGUAAACAUUUAUAUUAGUUAUUAAAAUUAAGAAAAGAUUGACUAAUCCAUUUUAAAUUAGUAGUAGUAAAUUAAACUUACUUUUAUAACUUGUAGUUCCCGCUCAAUGUCUUUCUUCUGCCAACCUUUCCUGAGCGUUUUUAGUGACUUAUGAGCACCCUCAACAUCAUUCUUCAUAAUGUAGUAAUAAGGGGAUUCGGGGAUGAAAGGACACAAUAGGAAGAAAAACAUAGGUGCAACACAGGACACCAGGACUAGAUCCCAAUAUGAGACAAGGGGCCCAAAUAUGUACUCUACAAGAUAUCCAGAAGCGAAGAAGAAGUUUAGAGUUGAUCCAAGAGCACUGCGCACAUCGUCCUGAAUGUAAACAGAGAACAUCUUCAAUCAUUUGUGGAUAGGAUAAUUUUGAUUUACAAUUUUCAACAUCAAGAAUAAACAACAUCAGUGAAUGUUAAUGUGAUCCUGCAGAGCAUGACUAUUCCCAUUAAAGUGAAUUAAUGAAUUAAUUAUUAUGUGGGUCACAUUACAAUUUGUUCUAUAUUUAUACUUGUGUAACUAUGUUUCAUGAAUUUGUUUUUAGUUGGUAGCAAUAAAAAAAUGGAAUAGUUUAUUUUAGAAAAUACAUAAGUUAUAUUUUAAAUUAGUUUUUAGAAAACCGUAAUUUUUAUUAAAUGAACUUUAGGAGUACAAACUGCCAAUAUUAGAUAUUGGUGUGCUCAAGUGUAUCUUAUUAGUAAAUUAAGUUAGGCUUGGAUGUACUGUAUGUUACAGUCAAAGCUUCUGUUGCCCAUUCAAAACUUAGUUUAAUCAAAGGCCAAGAUCAAAACCAGUUUUGACUAGUCAAUACAAGUUUUUACCAAACUCUCUAGUUUCACUAACCAAACUCAAACACAACGUUAUCCAAGCCAGGCAGUCAAAACUAGAUUUGCCUAGUUAUGACUAAAUAAUUUAGUCAAAACUGGUUGAUAUAUAUUGGUCCAAUCUAGUUGGGAUAUUGACAUUUUUUCAAAACUAGAUUUGCCUGUCAUGUAGUAUCUAGUACAGAAAUAUUCCAAAAAACAUUACUUUUUAUCUCUAUGAUGAAUAAACAUAUUUUAUCAUAUUCACUCA
This is a long non-coding RNA of Homalodisca vitripennis (glassy-winged sharpshooter), 3103 nucleotides long. RefSeq lists it as uncharacterized. NCBI's taxonomy places the organism in Eukaryota, Metazoa, Arthropoda, Insecta, Hemiptera, Cicadellidae. The transcript has 3 exons. The record is from RefSeq and is a predicted model, not a curated record.